RNAcentral lists this ribosomal RNA (467 nucleotides) under uncultured bacterium. RNAcentral's name for it is "partial 16S ribosomal RNA". It matches the Rfam family "Bacterial small subunit ribosomal RNA", at positions 355 to 813 of the family's 1533-position model. The record is from RNAcentral.
UGGGGAAUUUUGGACAAUGGGCGAAAGCCUGAUCCAGCAAUGCCGCGUGUGUGAAGAAGGCCUUCGGGUUGUAAAGCACUUUUGUCCGGAAAGAAAUCCUUGGCUCUAAUACAGUCGGGGGAUGACGGUACCGGAAGAAUAAGCACCGGCUAACUACGUGCCAGCAGCCGCGGUAAUACGUAGGGUGCAAGCGUUAAUCGGAAUUACUGGGCGUAAAGCGUGCGCAGGCGGUUUGCUAAGACCGAUGUGAAAUCCCCGGGCUCAACCUGGGAACUGCAUUGGUGACUGGCAGGCUAGAGUAUGGCAGAGGGGGGUAGAAUUCCACGUGUAGCAGUGAAAUGCGUAGAGAUGUGGAGGAAUACCGAUGGCGAAAGGCAGCCCCCUGGGCCAAUACUGACGCUCAUGCACGAAAGCGUGGGGAGCAAACAGGAUUAGAUACCCUGGUAGUCCACGCCCUAAACGAUGUC